RNAcentral lists this ribosomal RNA (497 nucleotides) under uncultured bacterium. RNAcentral describes it as "partial 16S ribosomal RNA". It matches the Rfam family "Bacterial small subunit ribosomal RNA", at positions 28 to 507 of the family's 1533-position model. The record is from RNAcentral.
GACGAACGCUGGCGGCGUGCCUAAUACAUGCAAGUUGAGCGCUGAAGGUUGGUACUUGUACCAACUGGAUGAGCAGCGAACGGGUGAGUAACGCGUGGGGAAUCUGCCUUUGAGCGGGGGACAACAUUUGGAAACGAAUGCUAAUACCGCAUAAAAACUUUAAACACAAGUUUUAAGUUUGAAAGAUGCAAUUGCAUCACUCAAAGAUGAUCCCGCGUUGUAUUAGCUAGUUGGUGAGGUAAAGGCUCACCAAGGCGAUGAUACGUAGCCGACCUGAGAGGGUGAUCGGCCACAUUGGGACUGGGACACGGCCCAAACUCCUACGGGAGGCAGCAGUAGGGAAUCUUCGGCAAUGGACGAAAGUCUGACCGAGCAACGCCGCGUGAGUGAAGAAGGUUUUCGGAUCGUAAAACUCUGUUGGUAGAGAAGAACGUUGGUGAGAGUGGAAAGCUCAUCAAGUGACGGUAACUACCCAGAAAGGGACGGCUAACUACGUG